UGCCGGCGAGUGGCGAACGGGUGAGUAAUGCAUCGGAACGUACCGAGUAAUGGGGGAUAACUGUCCGAAAGGACAGCUAAUACCGCAUACGCCCUGAGGGGGAAAGCGGGGGAUCUUAGGACCUCGCGUUAUUCGAGCGGCCGAUGUCUGAUUAGCUAGUUGGUGGGGUAAAGGCCUACCAAGGCGACGAUCAGUAGCGGGUCUGAGAGGACGAUCCGCCACACUGGGACUGAGACACGGCCCAGACUCC
Molecule: ribosomal RNA, 250 nt
Filed under: uncultured Neisseria sp.
Lineage: Bacteria; Pseudomonadati; Pseudomonadota; Betaproteobacteria; Neisseriales; Neisseriaceae
Description: partial 16S ribosomal RNA
Rfam family: Bacterial small subunit ribosomal RNA
Source: RNAcentral